This 468-nucleotide ribosomal RNA is filed under the name uncultured bacterium. RNAcentral's name for it is "partial 16S ribosomal RNA". It matches the Rfam family "Bacterial small subunit ribosomal RNA", at positions 28 to 507 of the family's 1533-position model. The record is from RNAcentral.
GACGAACGCUGGCGGCGUGCUUAACACAUGCAAGUCGAACGGAAAGACCCUGCUUUUGUGGGGUGCUCGAGUGGCGAACGGGUGAGUAACACGUGAGUAACCUGCCCUUGACUUUGGGAUAACUUCAGGAAACUGGGGCUAAUACCGGAUAGGAGCUCCUGCUGCAUGGUGGGGGUUGGAAAGUUUCGGCGGUUGGGGAUGGACUCGCGGCUUAUCAGCUUGUUGGUGGGGUAGUGGCUUACCAAGGCUUUGACGGGUAGCCAGCCUGAGAGGGUGACCGGCCACAUUGGGACUGAGAUACGGCCCAGACUCCUACGGGAGGCAGCAGUGGGGAAUAUUGCACAAUGGGCGGAAGCCUGAUGCAGCAACGCCGCGUGCGGGAUGACGGCCUUCGGGUUGUAAACCGCUUUCGCCUGUGACGAAGCGUGAGUGACGGUAAUGGGUAAAGAAGCACCGGCUAACUACGUG